CUAUUUAUGUGUUGGUGUGUAUUAAAGUAAUUACCACUACCAUUUUAUUUUCUAUCACGAAACUAGAAUUUCUGUUAGGAUGCAAUCUUUCCAGCUAAAUUUGAAAAAAAAAAUGAGGGAAA
This is a long non-coding RNA of Populus euphratica (Euphrates poplar), 122 nucleotides long. RefSeq lists it as uncharacterized. The transcript has 2 exons. Lineage: Eukaryota; Viridiplantae; Streptophyta; Magnoliopsida; Malpighiales; Salicaceae. The record is from RefSeq and is a predicted model, not a curated record.